CCUACGGGUGGCAGCAGUCGAGAAUCAUUCACAAUGGGGGAAACCCUGAUGGUGCGACGCCGCGUGGGGGAAUGAAGGUCUUCGGAUUGUAAACCCCUGUCAUGUGGGAGCAAAUUAAAAAGAUAGUACCCCAAGAGGAAGAGACGGCUAACUCUGUGCCAGCAGCCGCGGUAAUACAGAGGUCUCAAGCGUUGUUCGGAAUCACUGGGCGUAAAGCGUGCGUAGGCUGUUUCGUAAGUCGUGUGUGAAAGGCGCGGGCUCAACCCGCGGACGGCACAUGAUACUGCGAGACUAGAGUAAUGGAGGGGGAACCGGAAUUCUCGGUGUAGCAGUGAUAUGCGUAGAUAUCGAGAGGAACACUCGUGGCGAAGGCGGGUUCCUGGACAUUAACUGACGCUGAGGCACGAAGGCCAGGGGAGCGAAAGGGAUUAGAUACCCCGGUAGUC
Molecule: ribosomal RNA, 446 nt
Filed under: uncultured bacterium
Lineage: Bacteria
Description: partial 16S ribosomal RNA
Rfam family: Bacterial small subunit ribosomal RNA
Source: RNAcentral